This 449-nucleotide ribosomal RNA is filed under the name uncultured bacterium. RNAcentral's name for it is "partial 16S ribosomal RNA". It matches the Rfam family "Bacterial small subunit ribosomal RNA", at positions 29 to 523 of the family's 1533-position model. The record is from RNAcentral.
AGCGAACGCUGGCGGCAGGCCUAACACAUGCAAGUCGAACGGACCCUUCGGGGUUAGUGGCGGACGGGUGAGUAACACGUGGGAACGUGCCUUUAGGUUCGGAAUAGCUCCUGGAAACGGGUGGUAAUGCUGAAUGUGCCCUUCGGGGGAAAGAUUUAUCGCCUUUAGAGCGGCCCGCGUCUGAUUAGCUAGUUGGUGGGGUAAUGGCCCACCAAGGCUACGAUCAGCAGCUGGUUCGAGAGGAUGACCAGCCACAUUGGGACUGAGACACGGCCCAAACUCCUGCGGGAGGCAGCAGUGGGGAAUGUUGCGCAAUGGGCGAAAGCCUGACGCAGCCAUGCCGCGUGUAUGAUGAAGGUCUUAGGAUUGUAAAAUACUUUCACCGGUGAAGAUAAUGACUGUAGCCGGAGAAGAAGCCCCGGCUAACUUCGUGCCAGCCGCCGCGGUAA